ACAUGCAAGUCGAACGCUUUGUCUUUAAUUGAUAUGAAGAGCUUGCUCUGAUUUGAUUUUAUCUGACAAAGAGUGGCGAACGGGUGAGUAACACGUGGGUAACCUACCUCUUAGCAGGGGAUAACAUUUGGAAACAAGUGCUAAUACCGUAUAAUACUAACAACCGCAUGGUUGUUAAUUGAAAGAUGGUUCUGCUAUCACUAAGAGAUGGACCCGCGGUGCAUUAGCUAGUUGGUAAGGUAAUGGCUUACCAAGGCGAUGAUGCGUAGCCGAGUUGAGAGACUGAUCGGCCACAAUGGGACUGAGACACGGCCCAUACUCCUACGGGAGGCAGCAGUAGGGAAUCUUCCACAAUGGGCGCAAGCCUGAUGGAGCAACGCCGCGUGUGUGAUGAAGGGUUUCGGCUCGUAAAACACUGUUAUAAGAGAAGAACGACAUUGAGAGUAACUGUUCAGUGUGUGACGGUAUCUUAUCAGAAAGGAACGGCUAAAUACGUGCCAGCAGCCGCGGUAAUACGUAUGUUCCAAGCGUUAUCCGGAUUUAUUGGGCGUAAAGCGAGCGCAGACGGUUAUUUAAGUCUGAAGUGAAAGCCCUCAGCUCAACUGAGGAAGGGCUUUGGAAACUGGAUAACUUGAGUGCAGAUAGAGGAAAGUGGAACUCCAUGUGUAGCGGUGAAAUGCGUAGAUAUAUGGAAGAACACCGGUGGCGAA
This 710-nucleotide ribosomal RNA is filed under the name Weissella paramesenteroides. Its description in RNAcentral is "bacterial SSU rRNA". It matches the Rfam family "Bacterial small subunit ribosomal RNA", at positions 53 to 719 of the family's 1533-position model. The record is from RNAcentral. Lineage: Bacteria; Bacillati; Bacillota; Bacilli; Lactobacillales; Lactobacillaceae.